CCUGGCGGUAGGCUUAACACAUGCAAGUCGAACGGAAACGAUACUAGCUUGCUAGUAGGCGUCGAGUGGCGGACGGGUGAGUAACGCGUAGGAAUCUGCCUGAUAGUGGGGGAUAGCCCGGAGAAAUUCGGAUUAAUACCGCAUAAUCUAUUCGUAGUAAAGUGGGGGACUUUCGAGCCUCACGCUAUCAGAUGAGCCUGCGUAAGAUUAGCUUGUUGGUAGGGUAAAAGCCUACCAAGGCGACGAUCUUUAGCUGGUCUGAGAGGAUGAUCAGCCACAUCGGGACUGAGACACGGCCCGAACUCCUACGGGA
This 313-nucleotide ribosomal RNA is filed under the name uncultured Gammaproteobacteria bacterium. RNAcentral's name for it is "bacterial SSU rRNA". It matches the Rfam family "Bacterial small subunit ribosomal RNA", at positions 36 to 346 of the family's 1533-position model. Lineage: Bacteria; Pseudomonadati; Pseudomonadota; Gammaproteobacteria. The record is from RNAcentral.